GCUGAUAACAGGCAUUAAUUCAACUAAUAAUAAUUCCACAGAGAAGACUUUCUUAAAUAUUUUAAAGAGACAAUGGAAUGGCAAAUUGCAUAUCAUUCCUUGGUAGGUGUUACAAACAAAAACUUGAAAACGCCCAAUUUAUUUUCUUUCCAGGAUCUUGUCCAGGCAUGUUUCAUGACGAAGGGUAUUAUCCUUGCAGAGUCUUGAUAUGGUUAGGAACUGUAAGCUGUUUAAUUGAGAAGAAGAAUUUGGAAUUGCAUUGAAUUAGUCCUCCAGAAAUGGAGUUCCAGUAAUUACAGCAGUCUCACACUCUUCUCUUCAAUACUAAAUAAAGCAACCCAAACGUUCUAACACAAGAACACUCUAUCAAGAGAACUUCCAGAGGAGAGGUCUAUGGCCCUACCAAUUAUGUCAGAAAGAAAACAAUACAUUUCAUGCUCCCUUUCGUCUUCUGUUUCUUAUUUAUAAGUUUCUUCUCACAUGUCAUUCUGUUUUGCUUCAGCAGCGUAGCCGCAAUACCCUCUAACGGCUCUCCUCUUCUAGAAUCUUUUGCAUCUUUUCUUCUGGAACCUUCUUUCCUAGUCCCAGUACUUUUGGUCCGUCUUCUA
This 608-nucleotide unclassified non-coding RNA is filed under the name Hevea brasiliensis (rubber tree). The record is from RNAcentral. Lineage: Eukaryota; Viridiplantae; Streptophyta; Magnoliopsida; Malpighiales; Euphorbiaceae.